AAGGGGUUAGCUCAAUGGUAGAGCCCUGGCCAAGGUCAAAGACGGGGGUUCAAUUCCCUUACCCUUUCCA
RNAcentral lists this transfer RNA (70 nucleotides) under Thalassobium sp. RNAcentral describes it as "tRNA-OTHER". It matches the Rfam family "tRNA". From Rfam's summary of the family: Transfer RNA (tRNA) molecules are approximately 80 nucleotides in length. Their secondary structure includes four short double-helical elements and three loops (D, anti-codon, and T loops). Further hydrogen bonds mediate the characteristic L-shaped molecular structure. tRNAs have two regions of fundamental functional importance: the anti-codon, which is responsible for specific mRNA codon recognition, and the 3' end, to which the tRNAs corresponding amino acid is attached (by aminoacyl-tRNA synthetases). tRNAs cope with the degeneracy of the genetic code in two manners: having more than one tRNA (with a specific anti-codon) for a particular amino acid; and 'wobble' base-pairing, i.e. permitting non-standard base-pairing at the 3rd anti-codon position. The record is from RNAcentral. Lineage: Bacteria; Pseudomonadati; Pseudomonadota; Alphaproteobacteria; Rhodobacterales; Paracoccaceae.